CCUACGGGGGCUGCAGUGGGGAAUAUUGGACAAUGGGCGAAAGCCUGAUCCAGCCAUGCCGCGUGUGUGAAGAAGGCCUUCGGGUUGUAAAGCACUUUCAGUGGGGAAGAAAGCCUUGGGGCUAAUACCCUCGAGGAAGGACAUCACCCACAGAAGAAGCACCGGCUAACUCAGUGCCAGCAGCCGCGGUAAUACGGAGGGUGCGAGCGUUAAUCGGAAUUACUGGGCGUAAAGCGCGCGUAGGCGGUCUGAUAAGCCGGUUGUGAAAGCCCCGGGCUCAACCUGGGAACGGCAUCCGGAACUGUCAGGCUAGAGUGCAGGAGAGGAAGGUAGAAUUCCCGGUGUAGCGGUGAAAUGCGUAGAGAUCGGGAGGAAUACCAGUGGCGAAGGCGGCCUUCUGGACUGACACUGACGCUGAGGUGCGAAAGCGUGGGUAGCAAACAGGAUUAGAUACCCCAGUAGUC
This 464-nucleotide ribosomal RNA is filed under the name Vreelandella stevensii. Its description in RNAcentral is "partial 16S ribosomal RNA". It matches the Rfam family "Bacterial small subunit ribosomal RNA", at positions 338 to 795 of the family's 1533-position model. The record is from RNAcentral. Lineage: Bacteria; Pseudomonadati; Pseudomonadota; Gammaproteobacteria; Oceanospirillales; Halomonadaceae.